UACGGGGGGGGGCAAGCGUUGUUCGGAAUUACUGGGCGUAAAGGGCUCGUAGGCGGCCCUCUCAGUCGGAUGUGAAAUCCCCAGGCUUAACCUGGGAACGGCUUCCGAUACUGGAGGGCUUGAAUUCGGGAGAGGGAUGCAGAAUUCCAGGUGUAGCGGUGAAAUGCGUAGAUAUCUGGAGGAACACCGGUGGCGAAGGCGGCGUCCUGGACCAACACUGACACUGAAAAGCGAAAGCCAGGGGAGCAAACGGG
RNAcentral lists this ribosomal RNA (254 nucleotides) under uncultured bacterium. RNAcentral's name for it is "partial 16S ribosomal RNA". It matches the Rfam family "Bacterial small subunit ribosomal RNA", at positions 524 to 776 of the family's 1533-position model. The record is from RNAcentral.